UACGAAGGGUGCAAGCGUUAAUCGGAAUUACUGGGCGUAAAGCGCGCGUAGGUGGUUCGUUAAGUUAGGAGUGAAAGCCCCGGGCUCAACCUGGGAAUUGCUUCUAAAACUGGCGGGCUAGAGUAUGGUAGAGGGUGGUGGAAUUUCCUGUGUAGCGGUGAAAUGCGUAGAUAUAGGAAGGAACAUCAGUGGCGAAGGUGACCACCUGGACUGUAACUGACACUGAGGCGCGAAAGCGUGGGGAGCAAACAGGAUUAGAUACCCCGGUAGUCCCUGAGCGGGCU
RNAcentral lists this ribosomal RNA (284 nucleotides) under uncultured prokaryote. Its description in RNAcentral is "partial 16S ribosomal RNA". It matches the Rfam family "Bacterial small subunit ribosomal RNA", at positions 524 to 817 of the family's 1533-position model. The record is from RNAcentral.